AUUGAACGCUGGCGGCAGGCCUAACACAUGCAAGUCGAGCGGAUGAAGGGAGCUUGCUCCUGGAUUCAGCGGCGGACGGGUGAGUAAUGCCUAGGAAUCUGCCUUGUAGUGGGGGAUAACGUCCGGAAACGGGCGCUAAUACCGCAUACGUCCUGAGGGAGAAAGUGGGGGACCUUCGGACCUCACGCUAUCAGAUGAGCCUAGGUCGGAUUAGCUAGUUGGUGGGGUAAAGGCCUACCAAGGCGACGAUCCGUAACUGGUCUGAGAGGAUGAUCAGUCACACUGGAACUGAGACACGGUCCAGACUCCUACGGGAGGCAGCAGUGGGGAAUAUUGGACAAUGGGCGAAAGCCUGAUCCAGCCAUGCCGCGUGUGUGAAGAAGGUCUUCGGAUUGUAAAGCACUUUAAGUUGGGAGGAAGGGCAGUAAGUUAAUACCUUGCUGUUUUGACGUUACCAACAGAAUAAGCACCGGCUAACUUCGUG
RNAcentral lists this ribosomal RNA (484 nucleotides) under uncultured bacterium. RNAcentral's name for it is "partial 16S ribosomal RNA". It matches the Rfam family "Bacterial small subunit ribosomal RNA", at positions 30 to 507 of the family's 1533-position model. The record is from RNAcentral.